This is a long non-coding RNA of Lolium perenne, 1094 nucleotides long. RefSeq lists it as uncharacterized. The record is from RefSeq and is a predicted model, not a curated record. Lineage: Eukaryota; Viridiplantae; Streptophyta; Magnoliopsida; Poales; Poaceae.
UCUCUGGUAGCGGAGAGAGCUUUUCCCCCGCGGUGGUCGUGGGAUCUCCCGGCGAGGCCCUAGGUUCCCGUGCGGUGGCGGCGAAAUCGGUGAAGGCCACCGAGCGAGGAACUGGGAGGAUUCCGCUCGCUCCCGUCCUCGUGUUCCGUCGCUCUCUGGAAGUGAAAAGUAUGGGUUUGCAAGGAUGUUGAGGAGCUGGAUUCCUCCAUGCCGGAGCUUCCAGGGAGCGACCACUGUUUCGAGGUGACGGUAGGAGGCUGCUGGCUGCGUCGCCGGCGUGACUGUGUUGGUGCAUACUUGUGUGAAGAUUCAUCUUGAACAUCGAGUGUUGCUGGAAAGCUUUUUACCCGUUGGUAAAAUCAGACAAUGUUGGCCGCUUAAACGAUGAUGAACAAUAUCGCUGAUGACGGUAGAUUUUGAUGAUGGAUGUAAGUACACUUUUGCCAUAGACCAGAGGAGGAGAUCAAAGAGUGGAUGCUUGUUCGGUUCUACAUGGAAUAGCAAGAAAUCGUAUAAGCUGGACAUGCAUUUCCUAACUCACCACAAUAUUGGGUACUAAGCUGUGAUAAGGCAAGCUAGAGAUCUCAGGAAAUGCUACCCAUUGAUUCAAGACAAUUUGGUGGGAGAUGUACACGAUUGAUCAAGAAAAGAAAAGAGGUUCUGGAGUGAGCUACAACGGGUUGCCCAAAUACUUUUGCGUUCCUCAUUGUGCCGUAGUUCUCCUCAUUCUCGUCCAUCAUGAUGUGGAUCUAUCUUUUUCUUGCCCGAGAUUUCUUUGUUUUCCUCUUUGUUUUUCUGCUUUCCUGUUUGGUGCCCGUUGUCGCUGGAACCAGGCUGCUUUUGCAUGGGGAGGAAGAAGAAGGGGGGAGAUGGUGACGUGGAGGCAACUGGUGGACCAGGCCAACGAAAAUAGAAGGCCUAGUUUCCUGUUUUUUGUGAAAUCCUCAACAAAGGCUGAUGUAUAAAUAAUGAGCUACUCCUUUUUCAGUUAUUAUGUACAAGAGCCCAGUUUUAAAACGGCAGAUGUAUAAAAAAUGGGCUAAUGGAAAAAAACCAGGCUGGCCGAACUGAUCGGAAUGAAUUUGUUUGUGUUU